UACGUAGGAGGCAAGCGUUGUCCGGAAUUACUGGGCGUAAAGCGCGUGUAGGCGGUCUGAAUAGUCUGCUGUGAAAGCGCCUGGCUUAACCGGGCGAGGUCGGCGGAAACUCUCAGACUGGAGGCCGGUAGAGGGGGGUGGAAUUCCCGGUGUAGUGGUGAAAUGCGUAGAGAUCGGGAGGAACACCUGUGGCGAAGGCGGCCCCCUGGGCCGCGCCUGACGCUGAGGCACGAAAGCUAGGGGAGCAAACAGG
RNAcentral lists this ribosomal RNA (253 nucleotides) under uncultured bacterium. Its description in RNAcentral is "partial 16S ribosomal RNA". It matches the Rfam family "Bacterial small subunit ribosomal RNA", at positions 524 to 776 of the family's 1533-position model. The record is from RNAcentral.